RNAcentral lists this ribosomal RNA (999 nucleotides) under uncultured Bifidobacterium sp. RNAcentral describes it as "bacterial SSU rRNA". It matches the Rfam family "Bacterial small subunit ribosomal RNA", at positions 514 to 1507 of the family's 1533-position model. Lineage: Bacteria; Bacillati; Actinomycetota; Actinomycetes; Bifidobacteriales; Bifidobacteriaceae. The record is from RNAcentral.
GCCGCGGUAAUACGUAGGGUGCAAGCGUUAUCCGGAAUUAUUGGGCGUAAAGGGCUCGUAGGCGGUUCGUCGCGUCCGGUGUGAAAGUCCAUCGCUUAACGGUGGAUCCGCGCCGGGUACGGGCGGGCUUGAGUGCGGUAGGGGAGACUGGAAUUCCCGGUGUAACGGUGGAAUGUGUAGAUAUCGGGAAGAACACCAAUGGCGAAGGCAGGUCUCUGGGCCGUUACUGACGCUGAGGAGCGAAAGCGUGGGGAGCGAACAGGAUUAGAUACCCUGGUAGUCCACGCCGUAAACGGUGGAUGCUGGAUGUGGGGCCCGUUCCACGGGUUCCGUGUCGGAGCUAACGCGUUAAGCAUCCCGCCUGGGGAGUACGGCCGCAAGGCUAAAACUCAAAGAAAUUGACGGGGGCCCGCACAAGCGGCGGAGCAUGCGGAUUAAUUCGAUGCAACGCGAAGAACCUUACCUGGGCUUGACAUGUUCCCGACGAUCCCAGAGAUGGGGUUUCCCUUCGGGGCGGGUUCACAGGUGGUGCAUGGUCGUCGUCAGCUCGUGUCGUGAGAUGUUGGGUUAAGUCCCGCAACGAGCGCAACCCUCGCCCCGUGUUGCCAGCGGAUUGUGCCGGGAACUCACGGGGGACCGCCGGGGUUAACUCGGAGGAAGGUGGGGAUGACGUCAGAUCAUCAUGCCCCUUACGUCCAGGGCUUCACGCAUGCUACAAUGGCCGGUACAACGGGAUGCGACGCGGCGACGCGGAGCGGAUCCCUGAAAACCGGUCUCAGUUCGGAUCGCAGUCUGCAACUCGACUGCGUGAAGGCGGAGUCGCUAGUAAUCGCGAAUCAGCAACGUCGCGGUGAAUGCGUUCCCGGGCCUUGUACACACCGCCCGUCAAGUCAUGAAAGUGGGCAGCACCCGAAGCCGGUGGCCUAACCCCUUGUGGGAUGGAGCCGUCUAAGGUGAGGCUCGUGAUUGGGACUAAGUCGUAACAAGGUAACCAAUCGA